UGGCGGCAGGCCUAAUAAUGCAAGUCGAGCGGAAACGAAGAGGUGCUUGCACCUCUGGCGUCGAGCGGCGGACGGGUGAGUAAUGCUUGGGAAUAUGCCUUAUGGUGGGGGACAACAGUUGGAAACGACUGCUAAUACCGCAUAAUGUCUACGGACCAAAGUGGGGGACCUUCGGGCCUCACGCCAUAAGAUUAGCCCAAGUGGGAUUAGCUAGUUGGUGAGGUAAUGGCUCACCAAGGCGACGAUCCCUAGCUGGUUUGAGAGGAUGAUCAGCCACACUGGGACUGAGACACGGCCCAGACUCCUACGGGAGGCAGCAGUGGGGAAUAUUGCACAAUGGGCGCAAGCCUGAUGCAGCCAUGUCGCGUGUGUGAAGAAGGCCUUCGGGUUGUAAAGCACUUUCAGUAAGGAGGAAAGGUUAAGUGUUAAUAGCGCUUAGCUGUGACGUUACUUACAGAAGAAGCACCGGCUAACUCCGUGCCAGCA
RNAcentral lists this ribosomal RNA (486 nucleotides) under uncultured bacterium. RNAcentral describes it as "bacterial SSU rRNA". It matches the Rfam family "Bacterial small subunit ribosomal RNA", at positions 37 to 513 of the family's 1533-position model. The record is from RNAcentral.